CCUACGGGAGGCAGCAGUGGGGAAUAUUGGGCAAUGGGCGCAAGCCUGAUCCAGCGACGCCGCGUGAAUGAAGAAGGCUUUCGGUAUGUAAACUUCUAUUGUCAGGGACGAAGCAAGUGACGGUACCUGACGAAUAAGCCCCGGCUAACUACGUGCCAGCAGCCGCGGUAAUACGUAGGUGGCAAGCGUUAUCCGGAUUUACUGGGUGUAAAGGGCGGGUAGGCGGCGAUGCAAGUCAGAAGUGAAAAUCAUGGGCCCAACCCAUAGACUGCUUUGGAAACUGUAUUUCUGGAGUGCAGGAGAGGCAAGCGGAAUUCCGUGUGUAGCGGUGAAAUGCGUAGAUAUAAGGAGGAACACCAGUGGCGAAGGCGGAUUACUGGACAGUAACUGACGCUGAGGCGCGAAAGCGUGGGGAGCAAACAGGAUUAGAUACCCUUGUAGUC
This 443-nucleotide ribosomal RNA is filed under the name uncultured bacterium. RNAcentral's name for it is "partial 16S ribosomal RNA". It matches the Rfam family "Bacterial small subunit ribosomal RNA", at positions 338 to 795 of the family's 1533-position model. The record is from RNAcentral.